UACAGAGGUCCCAAGCGUUGUUCGGAUUCACUGGGCGUAAAGGGUGCGUAGGCGGUCGGGUAAGUCUGAUGUGAAAUCUCACAGCUUAACUGUGAAACUGCAUUGGAUACUAUCCGGCUCGAGGAAUGGAGGGGAGACUGGAAUACUUGGUGUAGCAGUGAAAUGCGUAGAUAUCAAGUGGAACACCAGUGGCGAAGGCGAGUCUCUGGACAGUUACUGACACUGAGGCACGAAGGCCAGGGGAGCAAACGGG
RNAcentral lists this ribosomal RNA (253 nucleotides) under uncultured bacterium. Its description in RNAcentral is "partial 16S ribosomal RNA". It matches the Rfam family "Bacterial small subunit ribosomal RNA", at positions 524 to 776 of the family's 1533-position model. The record is from RNAcentral.